This 211-nucleotide ribosomal RNA is filed under the name uncultured bacterium. Its description in RNAcentral is "partial 16S ribosomal RNA". It matches the Rfam family "Bacterial small subunit ribosomal RNA", at positions 1290 to 1500 of the family's 1533-position model. The record is from RNAcentral.
AGUUCGGAUUGAAGGCUGAAAUUCGCCUUCCAUGAAGCCGGAAUUGCUAGUAAUGGCAGGUCAGCAUACUGCCGUGAAUACGUUCCCGGGCCUUGUACACACCGCCCGUCACACCAUGAGAGUUGGGAAUACCCGAAGCCUGUGAGCUAACUUUAAGAGGCAGCAGUCGAAGGUAGAAUCAAUGAUUGGGGUGAAGUCGUAACAAGGUACC